CCAGGAUAUGGCCAUGGAAAUGGGCUGCGGGCCCAGCCAGGUCCCUGCAGUUCGAGGGUCGCUCCACUGCUCCUCCCCAGGCUUCCCACUCCAGGGAUCCCUUCGGACAGAGAGGGUGUCUGGGGCCUGAAAUCCCAGCCUCCUUCCGCGGUACAGAAUGGCAAGUUCCAAGGGCACCAGCCUCCAAAUGGCUAUGGACCAGGAGCAGAACUGGGUUUCAAUGGCGGCCUCGAGCCACAGAAAAUUGGUUUUGGUUAUGGGAAUGGUGUCCUGGGAGCCAGGGUCUUCUCCGAGGCCCGCCUACAGCCAGGGUUCCCUGGGGCCAAUGGCUUUAGGAAUGGUGAGUCAGACCCAGGGGACAAAGUGCAGUGGGGCAGGGGAGCCAACAGCCCAGGGGCUAGGUGGGAAUGACUGGAGUCUCUUGCAGGGGAUGGGGUGAAAGCUCUGGUGUACCCCAAAGCCUCGGCUCCAGCCCCUGAAGGAAAUGGUAAGAA
Long non-coding RNA from Sapajus apella (tufted capuchin), 494 nucleotides. RefSeq lists it as uncharacterized. Lineage: Eukaryota; Metazoa; Chordata; Mammalia; Primates; Cebidae. The transcript has 6 exons. The record is from RefSeq and is a predicted model, not a curated record.